UACGUAGGGGGCAAGCGUUGUCCGGAUUUAUUGGGCGUAAAGAGCGUGUAGGCGGCCAGAUAGGUCCGUUGUGAAAACUCGAGGCUCAACCUCGAGGCGCCGAUGGAAACCAUUUGGCUAGAGUCCGGAAGAGGAGAGUGGAAUUCCUGGUGUAGCGGUGAAAUGCGCAGAUAUCAGGAAGAACACCCGUGGCUAAGGCGGCUCUCUAGUACGGUACUGACGCUGAGACGCGAAAGCGUGGGGAGCGAACAGG
This 253-nucleotide ribosomal RNA is filed under the name uncultured bacterium. RNAcentral's name for it is "partial 16S ribosomal RNA". It matches the Rfam family "Bacterial small subunit ribosomal RNA", at positions 524 to 776 of the family's 1533-position model. The record is from RNAcentral.